RNAcentral lists this transfer RNA (64 nucleotides) under Angularitermes nasutissimus. RNAcentral's name for it is "tRNA-Ala". The record is from RNAcentral. Lineage: Eukaryota; Metazoa; Arthropoda; Insecta; Blattodea; Termitidae.
GGGGCUAUAGUUAACAAUAACAUUUGAGUUGCAUUCAAAAAGUACUACCUAGUAGUUAGCCUCA